Molecule: transfer RNA, 72 nt
Filed under: Synechococcus phage S-CAM3
Lineage: Duplodnaviria; Heunggongvirae; Uroviricota; Caudoviricetes; Pantevenvirales; Kyanoviridae
Rfam family: tRNA
About the family: Transfer RNA (tRNA) molecules are approximately 80 nucleotides in length.
Source: Rfam by way of RNAcentral
GGGGAAUUAGCUCAACGGUAGAGCACCUGCUUUGCAAGCAGGGGGUUAUCGGUUCGAAUCCGAUAUUCUCCA